Molecule: ribosomal RNA, 264 nt
Filed under: uncultured bacterium
Lineage: Bacteria
Description: partial 16S ribosomal RNA
Rfam family: Bacterial small subunit ribosomal RNA
Source: RNAcentral
UACGAAGGGUGCAGGCGUUAAUCGGAAUUACUGGGCGUAAAGCGCGCGUAGGUGGUUCGUUAAGUUGGAUGUGAAAGCCCCGGGCUCAACCUGGGAACUGCAUCCAAAACUGGCGAGCUAGAGUAUGGCAGAGGGUGGUGGAAUUUCCUGUGUAGCGGUGAAAUGCGUAGAUAUAGGAAGGAACACCAGUGGCGAAGGCGACCACCUGGGCUAAUACUGACACUGAGGUGCGAAAGCGUGGGGAGCAAACAGGAUUAGAACCGU